RNAcentral lists this ribosomal RNA (492 nucleotides) under uncultured bacterium. Its description in RNAcentral is "partial 16S ribosomal RNA". It matches the Rfam family "Bacterial small subunit ribosomal RNA", at positions 29 to 507 of the family's 1533-position model. The record is from RNAcentral.
AGUGAACGCUGGCGGUAGGCCUAACACAUGCAAGUCGAACGGCAGCACAGUAAGAGCUUGCUCUUACGGGUGGCGAGUGGCGGACGGGUGAGGAAUACAUCGGAAUCUACUUUUUCGUGGGGGAUAAUGUAGGGAAACUUACGCUAAUACCGCAUACGACCUACGGGUGAAAGCAGGGGAUCUUCGGACCUUGCGCGAUUGAAUGAGCCGAUGUCGGAUUAGCUAGUUGGCGGGGUAAAGGCCCACCAAGGCGACGAUCCGUAGCUGGUCUGAGGGGAUGAUCAGCCACACUGGAACUGAGACACGGUCCAGACUCCUACGGGAGGCGGCAGUGGGGAAUAUUGGACAAUGGGCGCAAGCCUGAUCCAGCCAUACCGCGUGGGUGAAGAAGGCCUUCGGGUUGUAAAGCCCUUUUGUUGGGAAAGAAAAGCAGCAGGUUAAUACCCCGCUGUUCUGACGGUACCCAAAGAAUAAGCACCGGCUAACUUCGUG